Molecule: ribosomal RNA, 465 nt
Filed under: uncultured bacterium
Lineage: Bacteria
Description: partial 16S ribosomal RNA
Rfam family: Bacterial small subunit ribosomal RNA
Source: RNAcentral
CCUACGGGAGGCAGCAGUAGGGAAUAUUGCUCAAUGGGGGAAACCCUGAAGCAGCAACGCCGCGUGGGUGAAGAAGGUCUUCGGAUCGUAAAACCCUGUUGUUAGAGAAGAAAGUGCGUGAGAGUAACUGUUCACGUUUCGACGGUAUCUAACCAGUAAGCCACGGCUAACUACGUGCCAGCAGCCGCGGUAAUACUUAGGUGGCAAGCGUUAUCCGGAUUUAUUGGGCGUAAAGGGAACGCAGGCGGUUUUUUAAGGCUGAUGUGAAAGCCUUGGGCUUAACCGGAGUAGUGCAUUGGAAACUGGGAGACUUGAGUGCAGAAGAGGAGAGUGGAAGUCCAUGUGUAGCGGUGAAAUGCGUAGAUAGAUGGAAGAACACCAGUGGCGAAAGCGGCUCUCUGGUCUGUAACUGACGCUGAGGUUCGAAAGCGUGGGUAGCAAACAGGAUUAGAUACCCCAGUAGUC